This 502-nucleotide ribosomal RNA is filed under the name uncultured bacterium. Its description in RNAcentral is "bacterial SSU rRNA". It matches the Rfam family "Bacterial small subunit ribosomal RNA", at positions 28 to 526 of the family's 1533-position model. The record is from RNAcentral.
GAUGAACGCUAGCGGCAGGCUUAAUACAUGCCAGUCGAGGGGCAGCACGAAUAGCAAUAUUUGGUGGCGACCGGCGCACGGGUGCGUAACACGUAUACAACUUACCUAUAACAGGGGGAUAGCCUUUCGAAAGAGAGAUUAAUACCCCGUAAUAAAUUUGAUGGCAGCAUUGGAUUUUGAAAGCUCCGGCGGUUAUGGAGGGGUAUGCGUCUGAUUAGCUAGUUGGUGAGGUAACGGCUCACCAAGGCGACGAUCAGUAGGGGAUCUGAGAGGACUACCCCCCACACUGGUACUGAGACACGGACCAGACUCCUACGGGAGGCAGCAGUAAGGAAUAUUGGUCAAUGGAGGCAACUCUGAACCAGCCAUGCCGCGUGCAGGAAGACGGCCCUAUGGGUUGUAAACUGCUUUUGUACCAGAGAAAACCCCUGUACGUGUACGAGGUUGAUAGUGUGGUAAGAAUUAGCAUCGGCUAACUUCGUGCCAGCAGCCGCCGUAACAC